Molecule: small nucleolar RNA, 64 nt
Organism: Bufo bufo (common toad)
Lineage: Eukaryota; Metazoa; Chordata; Amphibia; Anura; Bufonidae
Product: small nucleolar RNA Z39
Exons: 1
Source: RefSeq, a predicted model, not a curated record
GUACAGGUGAUGAUGGCAUAUUAGUAUGAGGUGACCUGUGAUACUGUAAACGCUUUCUGAUGUA